This 220-nucleotide unclassified non-coding RNA is filed under the name Hevea brasiliensis (rubber tree). The record is from RNAcentral. Lineage: Eukaryota; Viridiplantae; Streptophyta; Magnoliopsida; Malpighiales; Euphorbiaceae.
AUUUGAAGCUCAUCUGAUUUGGUUGGAGAAACUAACAUGAGAAAACUAAGAAAGCAAAAUACCUGAGAAUGCCAUCGCCGGAAUUGCCGGAAAUAUUUUUGGACCGACAUGCCGACCGGGGGGCUUAUGAGAGGUUUAGGGGGAGAUUAUCUAUUUAUUUAUUUUUUCUUUUUUUGAAGGUUACACUUUGUAGUAAGAGAUUAGAGGAAAAGCAAGAGCU